UCCAUAACGUUCUAGGUAUUUAUUUUGAUUAUCAAACGUCGUUUAAAAAUACUUUCAAAAAAACCUUUUUAAAAAGUGUAAACUGUAGCGCAUUUUCUCGUAAAGGCGAAAUUAAGAUACAUUUCUGCCACAUAUUCUGGAUCACCGACGUAGCCAGAAAUGUCUUUCGAAACUACUUUUGAAAGUUUAUAAUUUGCCAAUUUUUCCAAGCCAAUAAACGAUAGAAAACCACCAUCGAGAAAAAGAACGAACUUUAAAAAAAGGUUCAUAUUAUGAUCGCCUGAGUUCCGAGACCAAUGUAGUGAGGACAUACAUAUUGAAGGGAGAUAUCAAAAAGAGUGCCGCGCUAUAAACCGUGAAGACUAAACUUAAAGUUUGAAGCAAUUCAAAGAUCAUCAGAUCAAAGAUCCCCAGAGAAAUUUUAAUUUAAAAUUGCGUCCCUUUGUGAGGAUGUGUGACAUCGUGUACUCUCGUUUGUGAGAGAUAAGAAAUUUGAGUUUUAGAAAAUUUUGAACUUUAGUGAAUAAGUCAUCAGAAGAAUUGGACCCACAUGUGCCGUAUUAAACAAAAAGUUAAGCUGAAAAUAGAAAACAAGCGGAUUUAAUACCCUACACCAUUUUCAAGGAACUUGAAAAAUUUCCAAAAAAAAAUUCUGUCGAAAAAUGCCGCUCAAAAGAAAACCCGUUAUAUGGGGGCUAUACAAAGACGUAGUCCUGCAUAUAUAAUUUUUUGUCAUAGGCUGUAGUACUCAGUACAAACUUUAAUAACCAAAUUUGAAACAAUUCCUGUAAAAAAGUAGCUAAUAUCAUUCAAAUAGCGAAUAUCGGGUGUAUCGUUGUAUACAAAGUCGAAAUAUAAAUUUUAGACCCCACAAAGUAUAUAUAUUCUUGAUCAGCAUAAAAUUCCAUGUCGAUUUAGCGAUUUCCGUUCGUCUGUUCGUCUAUCCGUCUGUGUAUAUCACUCUUGCUUUUGAACGAAAUUAAGUAGAUUGAUAAAAUGUUUCUGAAAUGUAUAUUAUUUCUACAAGACUGAAAGUGGGCCAUGUAGGUCCACGUUUUUGUAUAGUCCCCAUAUAACAGUACCUCCCGUUAUUCGGUAUUCUGAUGAUUUGACUUUUUUCACAGGAAUUGUUUCAAAAUUUGGUGCUUGAAGUUCGUAAUGAAUACUACAGCCUAAUUCAGAAAAUUGUCUGUGCAGGUCCACAUUUUGGUAUAGUCCACAUAUUCACGAAUUUUUUUCAAGUUUCGCAUUUCAGUAUUGUAAUGGCUUAUAACAAAAGUUGGCCCACGUCGUCGUUUAGACUCUAAUACGGCUACAUUUGGUAUUUUUAAGAUUUUAACAGAAUUUUUAACGGAUUUUAUUUUUUUGAAAAUUGCCAAAUUCGCUCGGCUCGGCCGAACCUACAGCUUUUUUAUUUGUUUUGCUGCAAAAUAGUAUACCUUUCAACAAUUUGAAAAGUGAAGAGAAAAAUCGAAAAAGUCCAUCACUUGUGAUAUAUAUUAGGUCAGGGUAUACUUUUCUGCUAUUAAAUUUAUGGGCACUUCUUCGGGGCUAUAAUAAAGCGCAUAUCUUUGUAGACAAUGUUCUGCCAUAAGAGAUAAAACCCUUUGUAAAUUUUAAAUGUCAAAUUUGAAGAAAAUCCGUUGACAAAUGUUGAUAAAUGCUAAAACAUGGUACAAUAUGGACCAUUUUCGAAUUAGGCUGCCUACUGACAAAAUUCAUAUAUCACAAUAAGGUUGCCUUCUAUUUGAAUUCGUUUGAAGGCGUGAUUUCGACAGACAGACAUAGGAUUUUAUGCUCAUCCAGAAUAUAUAUGGAUAUACAUUAUGAGGUCUAAAAUGAGUAGUUUGAGGCGUUGCAAACGGUUAAAAUACCCUUCAUAGUAUGGCGUAGAAUAUAACAAGAAAUUGCGCAUUAAAAAAAUACUUCAAAAGUCAAAAAACCGGUCAUAUAUCACCGACCACAUGAUCUUUACAAAGUUUGGUCAAACAUCUUAACCUUAUCUAAUUGGCCUGACAGUGCACACGUCACCAAUACACCAAAAAAAUUUCCUAACAUCAUGUAAGACUUUUAGAACUUUUAUUCUCAUAUCAAAUAAAUUUACACUUUUGUGUAAUAUUUUAUCAAAAGAUAUGUCAAUCAGAUUAAGAUUAAUCAUGUAAGAACACACUUAUACUACCUUAUGUACUUCAAGCUAUUAUUAUUUCUCCCCCGAAAAAAAAAUCUUGCAUUCUAUUCAACCCAUUGUGCCUACGUACCCAAUAGAUACCCACUUUCAUUCAAUUAGCUACGUGUGUAUAGUUACGUACGUACGUAUGUACCUUCAGUCUCUUUAUUUUUGUGCUGAGGUGUGCACACCGCACUACUCAGCUUAAACAACAACAUGAAUGUGCACACGAAACGUAUUGCUCUGUGGUGCGGAGAGCAUAUUCAAGAAGAAAUACAACGAAGAAAAGUACCGAAUUUCAUAUCUAUAAAACCGCAUGCACUGCACCUACCGGUCAUCAGUCAGCUAACAGUCGGCUAAACAUAACACAACUACAAAAGUUGAUAAAAACAGAAACAAAACAAAAUAAUCAACAUGCCUUGCCCCUGUGGAACUGGUUGCAAAUGCGCUUCUCAAACCCAAUCUACCGGUAGCUGCGGUUGCGGUUCCUCCUGCAAAUGCGGUAGCAGCUGUGGCAAGAGUAGGUGCGGCAAGUAAGGAGUCUAAGAACUUGAUAUUGUCCUUUCAAGUCAUUAGCACCGCAUUCCCUGUAAUUCUUCCAUUAAAUUUAGUAUAUAUCUUCUCAAAAAGUCUGAGAUCGAAUUAUAUGUAAUUUGUAAAUUAGGUUAAAAAAAUUCAAAAUUUGUUAUCUUUCUCUUUAAACGUCAAUGUAAUUUGUUUACAAUUUAUUUUUAUAAAAUAAAACAAACAUUUUUUUUAACAAUUUAAAAAAAAAAAAACUUUUGAUGUGUUUCUUUGGUUUCACCUUUGCGAAAAUAUCAAAACAACUAA
Musca domestica (house fly) is the source of this 2998-nucleotide RNA transcript. RefSeq lists it as uncharacterized. Lineage: Eukaryota; Metazoa; Arthropoda; Insecta; Diptera; Muscidae. The transcript is spliced from 3 exons. The record is from RefSeq and is a predicted model, not a curated record.